This is a non-coding RNA of Ameiurus melas (black bullhead), 74 nucleotides long. NCBI's taxonomy places the organism in Eukaryota, Metazoa, Chordata, Actinopteri, Siluriformes, Ictaluridae. The record is from the annotation of a GenBank genome assembly.
GUCAGUGAUGGCUAAGUGGUUAAGACUUUGGGUUACUGAUCAGAAGGUCAAGGAUUCAAGCCCCAGCACUGCCA